Molecule: long non-coding RNA, 635 nt
Organism: Chelonia mydas (Green sea turtle)
Lineage: Eukaryota; Metazoa; Chordata; Testudines; Cheloniidae
Exons: 4
Source: RefSeq, a predicted model, not a curated record
CUUCUCAAACAGUCCUAGCUGAAGAAAGAAGACACCACCCACUGAAGGCAAAAUAAGGAGAAAGAACAGAGAAAAGAGUUGGUAAAUACUGUACUGUAUCCUCUCCAGGAAGAAAGAAGGGAAGAAAACCUUCCUACCUGGAAUCUGGGAUGCCACAUUUCUCCAGCUUACCAGAAAACCAGCACAAAGUGAAUAUUACUGAUCAAUUUGCAGAUAGCCUGUCUACAACAGGAGAAAUCAGAAAAUAGUGGAGAACGGGAAACCCAGGCUGGAAUCAGCAAUGACUUCUCAUGGAAGACUAAGCCGUUUGGCUGCAGAAGAACCAGGAAGCAAGGUCAUACAUGGCCUAGGAACAUUUUCUCCUGUGUGUGGCCAGGAGGAGAAAUGUGCAUGGACACAGAAACCCAACCAUGCUCUGCAGCCGAAGGAUGUGGAUGGUCCACAAAAGUCAUACCCCAGCCCAAAGAACACUCUGGAGUGAUGUAGAAACUCAGACAGGGAAGUGCAGCAACUAGCAGCAUGUUGAUGGAGAAACUGCAACGUGAGCAAGUAUACCUGCAAGACUGGCCAAGGGAUGCACAGCAAAGAGGCAAACGUAAAGCAACUUGCAGAGGUAAGUUGCUGAACUGAGCAAA